GCGGGUGUAGCUCAGUGGUAGAGCAUUUCCUUGCCAAGGAAAGGGUCGUGGGUUCGAAUCCCAUCACCCGCU
This 72-nucleotide transfer RNA is filed under the name Candidatus Lindowbacteria bacterium RIFCSPLOWO2_02_FULL_62_12. RNAcentral describes it as "tRNA-Gly". It matches the Rfam family "tRNA". Rfam says of the family: Transfer RNA (tRNA) molecules are approximately 80 nucleotides in length. Their secondary structure includes four short double-helical elements and three loops (D, anti-codon, and T loops). The record is from RNAcentral. Lineage: Bacteria; Candidatus Lindowiibacteriota. RNAcentral also lists the same sequence under 1 other name.